GCAGCCCUGGCCAACCAGGACCUGCCGCGUGGCAAGACCACGUCGACCAGGGAACGGGCCAUGUAGGCGAUCCGUGUGCCCGCGAUCGGACGGCCCAGAUGCGUCCCUACGCGCACGGACGGCCCAGAUCAAGCGUGCGCACGGACGGCCCAGAUGCAAUCGCACGGACGGCCCAGAUGCACGCGCACGGACGACCCAGAUUCAAUCAAAAACGGACGGCCCAGAUUUAAUCAAAAUGGACGGCUGUGAUCAAAAGGCAAAAGGGUAUAAAUAGAACCCCCACACCUGACCACAAAAACCCUAGCCGCCUGCCCUCGCUGGAGAAGACGAACCAGACACCGGAGGAGCCGGCCGCCGCCACCCGCCGCCACACCGGGGAGUUUUUUGACCGCCGAUCGAGGUAAAUUUCAUACCCCCGACUCGUUUUUCCAUGCUGAGUUCCCCUGUGGCCAAAUCGGAGCCAAAAUCCCAGCCAAACGGCUGAAACACACUGCCGAAACCCAGCGGCGCCGCCGCGCCCCUCCUCGGUUUUUGCUUCCGAUGAGGCCCUUCCUGGCCUCCGUUUGAUGCAAUUUUUAUAUCACCGUGAUCGCCAUUCUUUUCUCUACAAGUUGAUCAGAUCCGAAUCACCAAAACACGAACCUCGCCGGAGAGCCGCCGCACCCGAGAGCACCGCCACCGGUAAGCUUCGGUUUU
RNAcentral lists this long non-coding RNA (696 nucleotides) under Carica papaya (papaya). RNAcentral describes it as "long non-coding RNA (CPAP_LNC011935)". The record is from RNAcentral. Lineage: Eukaryota; Viridiplantae; Streptophyta; Magnoliopsida; Brassicales; Caricaceae.